This 1372-nucleotide ribosomal RNA is filed under the name uncultured bacterium. RNAcentral describes it as "bacterial SSU rRNA". It matches the Rfam family "Bacterial small subunit ribosomal RNA", at positions 28 to 1381 of the family's 1533-position model. The record is from RNAcentral.
GAUGAACGCUGGCGGCGUGCCUAAUACAUGCAAGUCGAGCGAACGGACGAGAAGCUUGCUUCUCUGAUGUUAGCGGCGGACGGGUGAGUAACACGUGGAUAACCUACCUAUAAGACUGGGAUAACUUCGGGAAACCGGAGCUAAUACCGGAUAAUAUUUUGAACCGCAUGGUUCAAAAGUGAAAGACGGUCUUGCUGUCACUUAUAGAUGGAUCCGCGCUGCAUUAGCUAGUUGGUAAGGUAACGGCUUACCAAGGCAACGAUGCAUAGCCGACCUGAGAGGGUGAUCGGCCACACUGGAACUGAGACACGGUCCAGACUCCUACGGGAGGCAGCAGUAGGGAAUCUUCCGCAAUGGGCGAAAGCCUGACGGAGCAACGCCGCGUGAGUGAUGAAGGUCUUCGGAUCGUAAAACUCUGUUAUUAGGGAAGAACAUAUGUGUAAGUAACUGUGCACAUCUUGACGGUACCUAAUCAGAAAGCCGCGGCUAACUACGUGCCAGCAGCCGCGGUAAUACGUAGGUGGCAAGCGUUAUCCGGAAUUAUUGGGCGUAAAGCGCGCGUAGGCGGUUUUUUAAGUCUGAUGUGAAAGCCCACGGCUCAACCGUGGAGGGUCAUUGGAAACUGGAAAACUUGAGUGCAGAAGAGGAAAGUGGAAUUCCAUGUGUAGCGGUGAAAUGCGCAGAGAUAUGGAGGAACACCAGUGGCGAAGGCGACUUUCUGGUCUGUAACUGACGCUGAUGUGCGAAAGCGUGGGGAUCAAACAGGAUUAGAUACCCUGGUAGUCCACGCCGUAAACGAUGAGUGCUAAGUGUUAGGGGGUUUCCGCCCCUUAGUGCUGCAGCUAACGCAUUAAGCACUCCGCCUGGGGAGUACGACCGCAAGGUUGAAACUCAAAGGAAUUGACGGGGACCCGCACAAGCGGUGGAGCAUGUGGUUUAAUUCGAAGCAACGCGAAGAACCUUACCAAAUCUUGACAUCCUUUGACAACUCUAGAGAUAGAGCUUUCCCCUUCGGGGGACAAAGUGACAGGUGGUGCAUGGUUGUCGUCAGCUCGUGUCGUGAGAUGUUGGGUUAAGUCCCGCAACGAGCGCAACCCUUAAGCUUAGUUGCCAUCAUUAAGUUGGGCACUCUAAGUUGACUGCCGGUGACAAACCGGAGGAAGGUGGGGAUGACGUCAAAUCAUCAUGCCCCUUAUGAUUUGGGCUACACACGUGCUACAAUGGACAAUACAAAGGGCAGCGAAACCGCGAGGUCAAGCAAAUCCCAUAAAGUUGUUCUCAGUUCGGAUUGUAGUCUGCAACUCGACUACAUGAAGCUGGAAUCGCUAGUAAUCGUAGAUCAGCAUGCUACGGUGAAUACGUUCCCGGGUCU